UCGGUGCCGCAGCUAACGCAUUAAGUACUCCGCCUGGGAAGUACGCUCGAAAGAGUGAAACUCAAAGGAAUUGACGGGGACCCGCACAAGUAGCGGAGCAUGUGGUUUAAUUCGAAGCAACGCGAAGAACCUUACCUAAGCUUGACAUCCCAAUGACAUCUCCUUAAUCGGAGAGUUCCCUUCGGGGACAUUGGUGACAGGUGGUGCAUGGUUGUCGUCAGCUCGUGUCGUGAGAUGUUGGGUUAAGUCCCGCAACGAGCGCAACCCUUGUCUUUAGUUGCCAUCAUUAAGUUGGGCACUCUAGAGAGACUGCCAGGGAUAA
This 322-nucleotide ribosomal RNA is filed under the name Clostridioides difficile. RNAcentral's name for it is "bacterial SSU rRNA". It matches the Rfam family "Bacterial small subunit ribosomal RNA", at positions 840 to 1161 of the family's 1533-position model. Lineage: Bacteria; Bacillati; Bacillota; Clostridia; Peptostreptococcales; Peptostreptococcaceae. The record is from RNAcentral.